UUGAGAGAAGUGAAAGAAUAGAAACAAACCCACCGCAGCAAUAAGGAAUAUGGCAAGCUUGGAAAUAAUGAUGGGACACAUCAUAGAAAGCUCAUAAACCAGGCAGAGAGAGUUCUGCUCAUCACGCCUUGAUUCAAUAAUAUUUCUCAGUAGCAAAGAGUCGUAGCUUCUGGAUCAAUGUCUAUUCCCGUGUUUUAUCAAAAUUUAAACCCACUGUGAAGGAUACUAGUGAGUGUUCCAGAAGAACAGAGGAGAGGAGCAUAACUUGAGGGACAGCCAAAAGGGAAAGAGAACUCUCCUGCAAGCAGGCUCCACACCCAGCAUGGAGCCCAACACAGGGCAGGAACUCAUGACCUUGACAUCAAGACCUGAGCUGAGAUCAAGAGUCAGAUGCUCAACUGACUGAGCCACUCAGGCACCACAUAUUUCUUUUUUUCUUAUAUGGAAUAUACCAUCUACCUCAAGAGUCGUAUAUUUUAAGUUGAAAUAUAUACGAAUAUUAAACAAUAACCUUUACCAGUUAUAUGCUCUAAUUAUAACAUUUAGUAACAUUAAGACUAAAACAUGCUAAC
Long non-coding RNA from Ailuropoda melanoleuca (giant panda), 572 nucleotides. RefSeq lists it as uncharacterized. NCBI's taxonomy places the organism in Eukaryota, Metazoa, Chordata, Mammalia, Carnivora, Ursidae. The transcript has 3 exons. The record is from RefSeq and is a predicted model, not a curated record.